UACAGAGGUCUCAAGCGUUGUUCGGAUUCAUUGGGCGUAAAGGGUGCGUAGGUGGCGCGGUAAGUCAGGUGUGAAAUCUCGGAGCUUAACUCCGAAACUGCAUUUGAUACUGGCGUGCUUGAGGACUGGAGAGGAGACUGGAAUUCACGGUGUAGCAGUGAAAUGCGUAGAUAUCGUGAGGAAGACCAGUGGCGAAGGCGGGUCUCUGGACAGUUCCUGACACUGAGGCACGAAGGCCAGGGGAGCAAACGGG
Molecule: ribosomal RNA, 253 nt
Filed under: uncultured bacterium
Lineage: Bacteria
Description: partial 16S ribosomal RNA
Rfam family: Bacterial small subunit ribosomal RNA
Source: RNAcentral